UCAGCAUACUGCCGUGAAUACGUUCCCGGGCCUUGUACACACCGCCCGUCACACCAUGAGAGUUGGGAAUACCCGAAGCCUGUGAGCUAACAUUUAUGAGGCAGCAGUCGAAGGUAGAAUCAAUGAUUGGGGUGAAGUCGUAACAAGGUACC
RNAcentral lists this ribosomal RNA (152 nucleotides) under uncultured bacterium. RNAcentral's name for it is "partial 16S ribosomal RNA". It matches the Rfam family "Bacterial small subunit ribosomal RNA", at positions 1349 to 1500 of the family's 1533-position model. The record is from RNAcentral.